Long non-coding RNA from Anopheles gambiae (African malaria mosquito), 296 nucleotides. RefSeq lists it as uncharacterized. NCBI's taxonomy places the organism in Eukaryota, Metazoa, Arthropoda, Insecta, Diptera, Culicidae. The transcript has 3 exons. The record is from RefSeq and is a predicted model, not a curated record.
GUUGUAUGCUCGGAACAUUUUGUACCAUCUGAUUAUCAAUUAAGAAACGUGCAGGAAAUUAAGCGGGGAUCUAAUUGGUUAAAACCUCAAGCCAUUCCGUCAGUUUUAUCGCCGUUAGAAAAUGAUAGUGAUGUUGCAUUAUUGCACUUAGACAACAAUAUCAAUAACCAAAACACAAACGAAGGGAGAAUCGAUUGCCCCCUGCCGGAAGCUGGUUCUUCGUUUUGUGAUGAACAUAUCAUUAAACAAAGUGCAGGCAACUUUACUUUUGAAAUAAAUGAAAAAGAUGUGUGUUU